This 513-nucleotide ribosomal RNA is filed under the name uncultured bacterium. RNAcentral's name for it is "partial 16S ribosomal RNA". It matches the Rfam family "Bacterial small subunit ribosomal RNA", at positions 28 to 523 of the family's 1533-position model. The record is from RNAcentral.
GACGAACGCUGGCGGCAUGCCUAAUACAUGCAAGUCGAGCGAACAGAUGAAGUGCUUGCACUUCUGACGUUAGCGGCGAACGGGUGAGUAACACGUAAGGAAUCUACCUAUAAGCGGGGGAUAACAUUCGGAAACGGGUGCUAAUACCGCAUAAUAUCUUCUUCCGCAUGGAAGAAGAUUGAAAGACGGCUCUGCUGUCACUUAUAGAUGACCUUGCGGUGCAUUAGUUAGUUGGUGGGGUAACGGCCUACCAAGACGAUGAUGCAUAGCCGACCGGAGAGGGGGGUCGGCCAAAUUGGGACUGAGACACGGCCCAAACUCCUACGGGAGGCAGCAGUAGGGAAUCUUCCGCAAUGGGCGAAAGCCUGACGGAGCAAUGCCGCGUGAGUGAAGAAGGCCUUCGGGUCGUAAAACUCUGUUAUAAGAGAAGAACAAAUUGUAGAGUAACUGCUACAGUCUUGACGGUAUCUUAUCAGAAAGCCACGGCUAACUACGUGCCAGCCGCCGCAGUAA